CCUGGCGGCACGCUUAACACAUGCAAGUCGAACGGGAUCUUCGGAUCUAGUGGCAGACGGGUGAGUAACGCGUGGGAACCUGCCCAGUAGUAGAGAAUAACUUGAGGAAACUUAAGCUAAUACUUUAUACACCCUUCGGGGAAAAGCUUUAUGCGCUAUUGGAUGGGCCCGCGUUAGAUUAGUUUGUUGGUGAGGUAAUGGCUCACCAAGACUACGAUCUAUAGCUGGUCUGAGAGGAUGAUCAGCCACACUGGGACUGAGAC
RNAcentral lists this ribosomal RNA (263 nucleotides) under uncultured Alphaproteobacteria bacterium. RNAcentral's name for it is "partial 16S ribosomal RNA". It matches the Rfam family "Bacterial small subunit ribosomal RNA", at positions 36 to 325 of the family's 1533-position model. The record is from RNAcentral. Lineage: Bacteria; Pseudomonadati; Pseudomonadota; Alphaproteobacteria.